RNAcentral lists this small nuclear RNA (19 nucleotides) under Arabidopsis thaliana (thale cress). RNAcentral's name for it is "snRNA_07649". Lineage: Eukaryota; Viridiplantae; Streptophyta; Magnoliopsida; Brassicales; Brassicaceae. The record is from RNAcentral.
UAGUGCUGGUAUGAUCGCA